This is a long non-coding RNA of Cololabis saira (Pacific saury), 1079 nucleotides long. RefSeq lists it as uncharacterized. The transcript is spliced from 7 exons. Lineage: Eukaryota; Metazoa; Chordata; Actinopteri; Beloniformes; Belonidae. The record is from RefSeq and is a predicted model, not a curated record.
GCCACAGUUUGCUCCGUUGCCAUGGCGACCACAGCGGCCGCCGCCGCCGGUGUUCUGUCAAAUUAUGCUACCCGGUGAAUGCAUGGAUCUAUUAAUAAAAUCUGAUGAAUGUCCUACUUUGCGUCAAUGCGCAUGCGCACCAGUCAACAGCGUCGACUUGACUAAAACAACACGGAAUCGUCCUACAGCUGUUUAAGAAGAAAACUGUGAAAACGAUUGUCAACAUCCCCAAGAAGGCCCUCAUCCUUAUUGAUCCCUUUGGGAAAGAGGACUAUUAUUCAAGAAAAGUUCUCCACAACUGGAGGAACUACCUUAAAAGGAUGGAGAGAAGGGGCCGAGGCAUGGCAGGUGGAGACUGUGCACCACAAUAAACAGCAGGAUGCCAGUAGCUGCGAAGUUUUAGUUAUGAAGUUUGCAGAAAACUUCAUCACUGAGGAAUCCACAGAGGUCGUCACCACAGCUGAGGCUUUGCAUGAAUACAGGAAGCAGAUUGCCUGUAGCUGCUACAAAAUCCGGGCGAUGCAAAAGAUUACUGCAUAGUGUGCGCCCUGCUGGAGUGCGAUCCACAGCACAGCAUGAUAGGAAUGGUGCAGUGUGGGACAUGUCAUCGGUGGGCCCAUUUGGAAUGCGCCAAAUGGCCAAUAAGAUAACAACAAUCGCCUUGACAGAUGAAGAGGUGGCGUCUGUCAAGGCCACAUUUAAAUGUGUUAUCUGCAGAGAUCCAAUGAAGGAGCCUGUAGUGGGCGCAUGCUGCCGCAGCCUCAUUGGUUGCAGAACAUGUGUGGAUGAGUGGGUGACUCAUGAGCCCAGUUGCCCCAAAUGAAGGGAUGGGGAAUUUCGGGUGAAAAGCUUCAUCCUGACUGGCGUUGAAGACACUCUGAAUAUUUUCAAAGACACUAUUAGGGGAUAAAUAGUUUUUUUAUUAAAUUUUUUUGGUUCAUAAUAGUUCAUGUUUUAUUUGGUUGUCGUAGUGUCCUUGGGCAAGACACAUUACCCAGCUUGCCCCGUGUGAAUGUGUAUGAAUGUGUGUGAAUGUUGGUGGUGGUCGGAGGGGCCGUUUGCGCGGAAUGGCAGCCACG